RNAcentral lists this ribosomal RNA (216 nucleotides) under Glomeromycotina sp. Its description in RNAcentral is "partial small subunit ribosomal RNA". The stretch from base 40 to 216 matches the Rfam family "Eukaryotic small subunit ribosomal RNA", at positions 686 to 864 of the family's 1831-position model. The record is from RNAcentral. Lineage: Eukaryota; Fungi; Glomeromycota.
GGGUCAGUAGGUUGGUCGUGCCACCGGUACGUACUGGUCUCACUGAUUCCUCCUUCCUGAAGAACCGUAAUGCCGUUGAUUUGGUGUUGCGGGGAAACAGGACUGUUACUUUGAAAAAAUUAGAGUGUUUAAAGCAAGCUAACGCUUGAAUACAUUAGCAUGGAAUAAUGAAAUAGGACGAUCGAUCCUAUUUUGUUGGUUUCUAGGAUUGACGUA